RNAcentral lists this ribosomal RNA (435 nucleotides) under uncultured bacterium. RNAcentral's name for it is "partial 16S ribosomal RNA". It matches the Rfam family "Bacterial small subunit ribosomal RNA", at positions 29 to 507 of the family's 1533-position model. The record is from RNAcentral.
AACGAACGCUGGCGGCAUGCCUAACACAUGCAAGUCGAACGAUUGCCUUCGGGUGAUAGUGGCGCACGGGUGCGUAACGCGGGGGAAUCUGCCCUUAGGUUCGGAAUAACAGCUGGAAACGGCUGCUAAUACCGGAUGAUAUCGCGAGAUCAAAGAUUUAUCGCCUGAGGAUGAGCCCGCGUUGGAUUAGGUAGAUGGUGGGGUAAAGGCCUACCAAGCCGACGAUCCAUAGCUGGUCUGAGAGGAUGAUCAGCCACACUGGGACUGAGACACGGCCCAGACUCCUACGGGAGGCAGCAGUGGGGAAUAUUGGACAAUGGGCGCAAGCCUGAUCCAGCAAUGCCGCGUGAGUGAUGAAGGCCCUAGGGUUGUAAAGCUCUUUUACCCGGGAAGAUAAUGACUGUACCGGGAGAAUAAGCCCCGGCUAACUCCGUG